AUACGGAGGAUGCGAGCGUUAUCCGGAUUUAUUGGGUUUAAAGGGAGCGUAGGCGGGAGCUUAAGUCAGCGGUUAAAUGGUGCGGCUCAACCGUGCCCUGCCGUUGAAACUGGGUUUCUUGAGAGUGCAAGAGGCGGAUGGAAUUCAUGGUGUAGCGGUGAAAUGCUUAGAUAUCAUGAAGAACUCCGAUUGCGAAGGCAGUCCGCUGGGGCACGUCUGACGCUGAUGCUCGAAGGUGCGGGAAUCAAACAGGAUUAGAUACCCUGGUAGUCCGCACGGUAAACGAUGAUUACCCGCUGUCGGCGGCAGACAGUCGGCGGCCAAGCGAAAGCGAUAAGUAAUCCACCUGGGGAGUACGCCGGCAACGGUGAAACUCAAAUGAAUUGACGGGG
This 392-nucleotide ribosomal RNA is filed under the name uncultured bacterium. RNAcentral describes it as "partial 16S ribosomal RNA". It matches the Rfam family "Bacterial small subunit ribosomal RNA", at positions 523 to 918 of the family's 1533-position model. The record is from RNAcentral.